This 73-nucleotide transfer RNA is filed under the name Thalassiosira oceanica. It matches the Rfam family "tRNA". From Rfam's summary of the family: Transfer RNA (tRNA) molecules are approximately 80 nucleotides in length. Their secondary structure includes four short double-helical elements and three loops (D, anti-codon, and T loops). Further hydrogen bonds mediate the characteristic L-shaped molecular structure. tRNAs have two regions of fundamental functional importance: the anti-codon, which is responsible for specific mRNA codon recognition, and the 3' end, to which the tRNAs corresponding amino acid is attached (by aminoacyl-tRNA synthetases). tRNAs cope with the degeneracy of the genetic code in two manners: having more than one tRNA (with a specific anti-codon) for a particular amino acid; and 'wobble' base-pairing, i.e. permitting non-standard base-pairing at the 3rd anti-codon position. The record is from Rfam by way of RNAcentral. Lineage: Eukaryota; Bacillariophyta; Thalassiosirophyceae; Thalassiosirales; Thalassiosiraceae.
UGGAAUAUAGCCAAGUAGGUAAGGCUUUCGUUUUUGGUACGAACAUUCAAAGGUUCAAAUCCUUUUAUUCCAA